RNAcentral lists this ribosomal RNA (253 nucleotides) under uncultured bacterium. RNAcentral describes it as "partial 16S ribosomal RNA". It matches the Rfam family "Bacterial small subunit ribosomal RNA", at positions 524 to 776 of the family's 1533-position model. The record is from RNAcentral.
UACAGAGGUGGCAAGCGUUGUUCGGAAUUACUGGGCGUAAAGGGCGCGUAGGCGGCCAUCUAAGUCAGACGUGAAAUCCCCGGGCUUAACCCGGGAACUGCGUCCGAUACUGGUUGGCUUGAAUUCGGGAGAGGGAUGCGGAAUUCCAGGUGUAGCGGUGAAAUGCGUAGAUAUCUGGAGGAAUACCGGUGGCGAAGGCGGCAUCCUGGACCAAUACUGACGCUGAGGCGCGAAAGCUAGGGGAGCAAACGGG